ACUUUUGGUCCUAUCUGUUACCACCGUUAACGGAGUUGCCAGCAAGGCUAACGGACCCUCUAGCUGACCGUUAAGUGCUGACGUGGCACAAUAGCCCGACUCCACCCGUGCGGGCGGCCCGAAUUCUAAAAGACCCGGCUUCAAUUUCAACCCGGCUUCAGCUUCAAUUGCUACCUGAGUAAAAUCCCCAAAUUUUCAAAAUCGCAACCCUAAUCGAGCUGAAAUCGAGCUCUUCCUUCCUCCCUCCUGAAAUCGACUUGUUCCCUUUCCUACCUCCCUCUUGAAAUCGAGCAUCCUGAAAUCGAUUCGUUCUCCGAGCAGCUCGUCCCUUUCCUCCGUCCCGAAAUCGAGCAGCUCGUCCCCUCUCCUAAACCGUGAAUCCCCUCAGCUUGUCCCUUUCCUCCAGUUCUACAGAUUGCCUUUCAGUAUACGAUCAUUGUUCCUCAUGAAGAACUUUCGGAGUAGGGAAAGAUUUCUGACAAUAGGCUUGUAAUGCUCAUGGGAUCUACUGUGUGCCCUUGUAUGACACUUUAGGUGCUGGAGCUGUAGAAUUUAUUAUACGUCAUGCAGAGGUUUCGUGAAUGGUGUGAUGAAAAUUUCAUCCCGAAUGCCUCAAACAAAAACAGUCUUCUAUACUUGAUAUACUCAAUCUCAUGAUACAUGUUGAAUUGUAUGUAAAGCCGAAUACUAUGAAGGUUGUAUGUAUGGCUUGGAAAUGUACGGAGGUGCUGUGAAGGAAAAAACUGCAAACAGUUUAUCAUAAUUGGUUAGUUAAUAUGUUGUUAA
Non-coding RNA from Punica granatum (pomegranate), 786 nucleotides. The record is from RefSeq and is a predicted model, not a curated record. Lineage: Eukaryota; Viridiplantae; Streptophyta; Magnoliopsida; Myrtales; Lythraceae.